RNAcentral lists this long non-coding RNA (1822 nucleotides) under Aphidius gifuensis. RNAcentral's name for it is "uncharacterized LOC122851742". Lineage: Eukaryota; Metazoa; Arthropoda; Insecta; Hymenoptera; Braconidae. The record is from RNAcentral.
UCUUCUUGCAUUGGGAGAAGAGAAGUCGAUGGAAGUCAUUGGAAGUCAUUCAGUAGCACGACUGUAUAGAUUAUAUUUAUCUAUUCAAAACCAGUUUAUGUACAUGAACAGUGACUCUAGUCGUUAUGUCUAAAACGUGAUCAUAAAGUUAUGUUUGGUAAAAAUCAGAAAGCUCAAAAAUAUUGAUAUUUUAAUUUAAUAUAAAUAAUAAUUAAAAUAAUAAACUUUAAACGAAAACUUCGUUGUAUAGUCAAUACAAACAUAAUGAGUCAUUACAGAAGAUUACGUAAAUGUAAAAAAUUACAUGAGCGUAAGAAAACAUGUGGGAAAAAUUGUAAGGCUAAAAGCCAAAUGUCAACACGUGGUUUUACCAUAAAGGAUAACGAGGAAUACUAUCAUGCUUAUGAUGAUGAAGCUACGUCGAUUGACUUUAUUAAUGAUGAUUGCCUGGUUGAAAUAUUCAUGUAUCUGCCAGCAUGUGAAAGACCAAAAAUUGCUUUGGUAUGCAAGAAAUGGAAAAAAGCUCUCGAUUAUUCUUGGUCGAAUGUAAACAAACUUGAACUAACUCAUUGGGAAUAUAAUGAGUGUCCAAGUUAUUUGAAAGAAUAUCCAACAAUCGAUGGACAAUUCAAUUUUUUAAGUUUCCUGCUUACUAAAUGUGGUCGUUAUUUAACAGAAUUAGAUUUGACAGCCCAUGAUAUUGUAAUAUAGUGCCAGUUAUUAAUGAAUCUUGUUAUAAUCUCGUAAAACUUCGGAUAAGAUUCAAGUAUAAUAUUGAACAUGAAUUAUUAGUUGAUGCGUUUUCACGUUUAUCUAAACUGAAAGUAUUAAAAAUUAUAUUUCAAUAUAUUAAUAAUACUCAAUAUAUUCCUGUUAAUUUAAUCAAUUCAUUGAAAAGCAUUGCUGGUACAUUAACUGAGCUGACUCUGUCAAAUUGGGACAAAGAAAAACUUCGUCAAAGCUUGAAAAUCCCAAAAACAUUCACUCGUGUUAUUCCUAAAUUAAAGGCUUUGAAAUCAUUUGAAAUUAAUGAUAUACAAAUUGAUAGGAAUAUAUCCAUGCAUCUAGAACAACUUGGAGUAUUAGUCAUAAGUUACGAUAAUUAUUACCUUGAAAACAUUGAGUACCGCACAGAACUGUAUACAAAUAUUAAGGAUUUAGAUUUAAUAGAAUAUCAAGUUACUAAUGAUUCUAUAUAUACUAUAGUCAAUUGCAUGGAGCAUUUAGAAAGAGUGCUGUUUUCGGCCCAACGGAUAACGGAUGCUGGUAUAGUAGCUAUUUCGAAGAUGAAUAAUUUAAAAUCUCUUCUUCUUCACGGCCAUAGUGACGUCACUGAUUCUUCAAUUAAAUUACUUAAAAAUUUAGAAGGUUUAGAAUUACCAUUCAGCAAUAAAAUUACUGAUGUUUCAGUCACGGAAAUUCUUGAAAAUUCACCCAACAUGAAGAUCUUUUUCAUUGUAGAAUCAGCUGUAACUCUUGAUUUUAUAAAAAAAGCAGCAGAAAUUGCAGAAAAAAGAAAAAAAGUAUUGCAGUUAGGCUUUCCAGUAACACCUGGUAUAAAACAAUAUGAAUCGCGAUAUUUAGAACUAUGUCUAAUCCGCAAUUACAAGUCAUCAAAACAAACUGUGUAUAUGUCGAAAAGCGUUAUUAAUAACUGACAAUUAAUUUCGAAAAUAAAGUAAAUAAACAAAAUCCCUCGUUAUUUAAAUUUGGCUCUUCUUUUAGCCUUUUAGGGUCUUCGUUUUUUUUUUUUUAUUUAUUUAAAAUACUAAUAUUAUUGUUUUUAAAAUAAAAAUAAGAAAACAAACAUUAUAUAAAUAAA